RNAcentral lists this ribosomal RNA (469 nucleotides) under uncultured bacterium. RNAcentral's name for it is "bacterial SSU rRNA". It matches the Rfam family "Bacterial small subunit ribosomal RNA", at positions 48 to 511 of the family's 1533-position model. The record is from RNAcentral.
GCUACCAUGCAGUCGACGGUAGCACAGAGAGCUUGCUCUCGGGUGACGAGUGGCGGACGGGUGAGUAAUGUCUGGGAAACUGCCUGAUGGAGGGGGAUAACUACUGGAAACGGUAGCUAAUACCGCAUAACGUCGCAAGACCAAAGAGGGGGACCUUCGGGCCUCUUGCCAUCAGAUGUGCCCAGAUGGGAUUAGCUAGUAGGUGGGGUAAUGGCUCACCUAGGCGACGAUCCCUAGCUGGUCUGAGAGGAUGACCAGCCACACUGGAACUGAGACACGGUCCAGACUCCUACGGGAGGCAGCAGUGGGGAAUAUUGCACAAUGGGCGCAAGCCUGAUGCAGCCAUGCCGCGUGUAUGAAGAAGGCCUUCGGGUUGUAAAGUACUUUCAGCGGGGAGGAAGGUGUUGUGGUUAAUAACCGCAGCAAUUGACGUUACCCGCAGAAGAAGCACCGGCUAACUCCGUGCCAG